UCUCCUGUAGCUCAGAGGUAGAGCGUCCCGCCAGUGACAUGCGGAAGGCCAUAGGUUCGACUCCUGUUGAGAGAA
Desmophyllum pertusum is the source of this 75-nucleotide non-coding RNA. The record is from the annotation of a GenBank genome assembly. NCBI's taxonomy places the organism in Eukaryota, Metazoa, Cnidaria, Anthozoa, Scleractinia, Caryophylliidae.